Molecule: ribosomal RNA, 465 nt
Filed under: uncultured Bacillota bacterium
Lineage: Bacteria; Bacillati; Bacillota
Description: bacterial SSU rRNA
Rfam family: Bacterial small subunit ribosomal RNA
Source: RNAcentral
GGGGAAGACGGUUGAAGAAAGAAAAUCAAAGAAUUGAAGGGGGGCCGCCCAAGCGGGGAGCAUGUGGUUAAUUUGAAGCAAAGCGAAGAACCUUACCAGGUCUUGACUUCUUUGACACCCCUAGAGAUAGGCUUCCCCUUCGGGGGCAGAGUGACAGGUGGUGCAUGGUUGUCGUCAGCUCGUGUCGUGAGAUGUUGGGUUAAGUCCCGCAACGCAACCCUUGAUCUUAGUUGCCAGCAUUCAGUUGGGCACUCUAAGGUGACUGCCGGUGACAAACCGGAGGAAGGUGGGGAUGACGUCAAAUCAUCAUGCCCCUUAUGACCUGGGCUACACACGUGCUACAAUGGACAGAACAAAGGGCAGCGAGACCGCGAGGUUAAGCCAAUCCCACAAAUCUGUUCUCAGUUCGGAUCGCAGUCUGCAACUCGACUGCGGAAGCUGAACGCAUAGAGGUACUUUUUUUGU